CAGCAGCCACGGGAAUACGUAGGGGGCAAGCGUUGUCCGGAAUCAUUGGGCGUAAAGCGCGUGUAGGCGGCUCGAUAAGUCUGCUGUGAAAGUCCAGGGCUCAACCCUGGAAUGCCGGUGGAAACUGUCGAGCUCGAGUCCGGAAGAGGCAAGUGGAAUUCCUGGUGUAGCGGUGAAAUGCGCAGAUAUCAGGAGGAACACCAAUGGCGAAGGCAGCUUGCUGGGACGGUACUGACGCUGAGACGCGAAAGCGUGGGGAGCAAACAGGAUUAGAUACCCCCGUAGUCCCUGUCUCUUAUAC
Molecule: ribosomal RNA, 301 nt
Filed under: uncultured bacterium
Lineage: Bacteria
Description: partial 16S ribosomal RNA
Rfam family: Bacterial small subunit ribosomal RNA
Source: RNAcentral